GUAGGGAAUUUUCGUCAAUGGGCGCAAGCCUGAACGAGCGAUGCCGCGUGAGUGAAGAAGGCCUUCGGGUCGUAAAGCUCUGUUGCGGGGGAAAAAAGGCAUCUGCAGGAAAUGGUAGAUGACAGAUGGUGCCCCGCCAGAAAGUCACGGCUAACUACGUGCCAGCAGCCGCGGUAAUACGUAGGUGGCGAGCGUUAUCCGGAAUGAUUGGGCGUAAAGGGUGCGCAGGCGGUCCUGCAAGUCUGGAGUGAAACGUAUGAGCUCAACUCAUGCAUGGCUCUGGAAACUGGAGGACUGGAGAGCAGGAGAGGGCGGUGGAACUCCAUGUGUAGCGGUAAAAUGCGUAGAUAUAUGGAAGAACACCAGUGGCGAAGGCGGCCGCCUGGCCUGUUGCUGACGCUGAGGCACGAAAGCGUGGGGAGCAAAUAGG
RNAcentral lists this ribosomal RNA (430 nucleotides) under uncultured Faecalibaculum sp. Its description in RNAcentral is "bacterial SSU rRNA". It matches the Rfam family "Bacterial small subunit ribosomal RNA", at positions 354 to 776 of the family's 1533-position model. The record is from RNAcentral. Lineage: Bacteria; Bacillati; Bacillota; Erysipelotrichia; Erysipelotrichales; Erysipelotrichaceae.